Molecule: ribosomal RNA, 253 nt
Filed under: uncultured bacterium
Lineage: Bacteria
Description: partial 16S ribosomal RNA
Rfam family: Bacterial small subunit ribosomal RNA
Source: RNAcentral
GACGGACGGUGCAAGCGUUGUUCGGAAUCACUGGGCUUAAAGGGCGCGUAGGCGGGCUACCAAGUCUGUGGUGAAAUCCUCCAGCUCAACUGGAGAACGGCCGUGGAUACUGGGAGCCUCGAGGGAGAUAGGGGCAGGCGGAACUGAUGGUGGAGCGGUGAAAUGCGUUGAUAUCAUCAGGAACUCCGGUGGCGAAGGCGGCCUGCUGGAUCUCAUCUGACGCUGAGGCGCGAAAGCCAGGGGAGCAAACGGG